AGAAAUAAAGGCUUGUUCUUGUUCACUUGGUUGGCCACCAGCCCAUCACAUUUGUGUUAUAUGAUUUUUUUUACUGCUUGCAUGUGAUAGCGAGAACAACGGGUAUGAUUCUGUUUGUUCUUCUAUAUAUUCGGUUGGACAGCCUAGAGUUUCAACGUGAAUUCUGUUCCAUUGUAUUUUGAAAUAGCCAAAGAAGGUCUCUAAUAACACUAAGUAGCAACAUCAAGUUGAUCUUCAUACCAAUAGGCUAUAUGAGUACAUGAUGUCAUUC
Molecule: long non-coding RNA, 271 nt
Filed under: Hordeum vulgare
Lineage: Eukaryota; Viridiplantae; Streptophyta; Magnoliopsida; Poales; Poaceae
Description: long non-coding RNA (HVUL_LNC016577)
Source: RNAcentral